GAUGAACGCUGGCGGCGUGCUUAACACAUGCAAGUCGAACGGAAAGGCCCAAGCUUGCUUGGGUACUCGAGUGGCGAACGGGUGAGUAACACGUGGGUGAUCUGCCCUGCACUUCGGGAUAAGCCUGGGAAACUGGGUCUAAUACCGGAUAGGACCACUUCUUGGAUGUUGUGGUGGAAAGUUUUUUCGGUGUGGGAUGAGCUCGCGGCCUAUCAGCUUGUUGGUGGGGUAAUGGCCUACCAAGGCGUCGACGGGUAGCCGGCCUGAGAGGGUGUACGGCCACAUUGGGACUGAGAUACGGCCAAGACUCCUACGGGAGGCAGAAGUGGGGAAUAUUGCACAAUGGGCGCAAGCCUGAUGCAGAGACGCCGCGUGGGGGAUGACGGCCUUCGGGUUGUAAACUCCUUUCGCUAGGGACGAAGCGUUUUGUGAGGGUACCUGGAGAAGAAGCACCGGCUAACUACGUG
Molecule: ribosomal RNA, 467 nt
Filed under: uncultured bacterium
Lineage: Bacteria
Description: partial 16S ribosomal RNA
Rfam family: Bacterial small subunit ribosomal RNA
Source: RNAcentral